This 404-nucleotide ribosomal RNA is filed under the name uncultured bacterium. RNAcentral's name for it is "partial 16S ribosomal RNA". It matches the Rfam family "Bacterial small subunit ribosomal RNA", at positions 29 to 526 of the family's 1533-position model. The record is from RNAcentral.
AUCGAACGCUGGCGGCAGGCUUAACACAUGCAAGUCGAACAGUGGCGAACGGGUGAGUAAUGCUUGGGAAUCUGGCUUAUGGAGGGGGCUAACGACGGGAAACUGUCGCUAAUACCGCGUACCAUAGGAUGAGCCCAAGUGGGUUGAGGUAGUGGGUGGGGUAAUGGCCUACCAAGCCGACGAUCGCUAGCUGGUCUGAGAGGAUGACGAGCAAAACCGGGACGGAGCGACGGCCCGGACUCCGGCGGGAGGCAGCAGUGGGGAAGAUUGCGCAAGUGGGGCAACCUGACGCAGCCAUGCCGCGUGAAUGAAGAAGGCCUUCGGGUUUUAAAGUUCUUUCGGUGGCGAGGCGUUAAUCACAGAGGAAGCACCGGCUAACUCCGUGCCAGCAGCCGCGGUAAUAC